AUGGCGUUAUUAGAUAUAAAGAAUAUGCUUGAAUCGAUGGGUAAGGACAUAUCAUCAUUCCCUCUCCCAGAAAUUGACAAGUCAUAUGAUGCCUCAGAUAAUGAGGCUAGGGAGAUCAUAGAGGAGUCCACGAUAGAGGUGGACCCAGAACACCUUGGCUUGUCAUCUUUCCUAAACCCAAAACAGAGAUAUGCAUAUGAUGAGAUACUUGCGACCAUCAAUAGUGGCCAAGGAGGUGUGUUCUUUGUUGAUGGACCCGGAGGCACGGGAAAGACUUAUCUGUACAAAGCACUACUUGCAAAAGUACGUGCCGAGGGUAAAAUAGCUGUUGCAACAGCGACAUCAGGCGUUGCUGCAUCCAUCUUGCCUGGAGGGAGGACUGCACACUCAAGGUUUAAAAUACCAUUGAACACCGAAGACGGUGGGGUCUGCAGUUUGACCAAGCAAAGUGGGACAACUAAGCUUCUUAUGAGGGCGUCCCUCAUAAUUUGGGACGAGGCCUCCAUGACAAAGCGGCAGGCGGUCGAGGCCCUUGACAAUAGCAUGAGGGACAUCAUGGCUCGACCUGACCUGCCGUUUGGUGGAAAGACAAUUGUGUUUGGGGGAGACUUCAAACAAGUGCUUCCUGUUGUUCGUAAGGGAACAAGGUCCCAAAUAACUGACGCGACGCUGCGUAAGUCUUACCUUUGA
This 690-nucleotide ribosomal RNA is filed under the name Triticum aestivum (bread wheat). RNAcentral describes it as "partial small subunit ribosomal RNA". Lineage: Eukaryota; Viridiplantae; Streptophyta; Magnoliopsida; Poales; Poaceae. The record is from RNAcentral.